RNAcentral lists this long non-coding RNA (1199 nucleotides) under Gallus gallus (chicken). The record is from RNAcentral. Lineage: Eukaryota; Metazoa; Chordata; Aves; Galliformes; Phasianidae.
GCUAAUGUUGCCAUGUUCUCGGCGAAACUCAUAGAGCGUGGUUUGGGGCUUUUUGUUUUGUUUUUCUUUUUUAAAGAGUCCCGGCUUGGUGUAUAUCCAUACCUAUAUACCCGUGUUUGUGUAGAUAUGGAAACGGAACUUUGGUUGGUUUGUUGUUUCGGGGCCCUUCUGAGUUCCCACGGGGGUGACACGGAUGGAGGGGGCAAGGUGCUCGGGGGGCUGUUGUAUCCCAGACCUGUGUGAUAACCGUGUGACUGGGAGUCGAGAAAGUUAAGUGUUUUAUGACUUCUCUAAACAGAGGGCAAGUCUUAAAAGUCCGCUCGAUUUAUAGUGAACACAAACCAGCUGCCGCACAGAAACUGCACACAGAACCCGCUCCCCACGCUCAAAAUCCGCCAGAAAAGAGACACAGAGAGAGGGGGGAGAGGGGGAAAACACACACACGCAACAGAAAGGAUCAUAAUAAUACCUAAAAAGAGCGCAUCCACCCCAAAAAAUUCCAGCGAACGCAACGCCUCACCCACCCUAAAAGGGCGCUUUACCCACUGCAGUCCCCCCAUAUAUAUAUAUAUAUACACGUCCCAUAUAAUAUACAUUUCCCCCCCCCCAUCCCCCAUUGAUAUUUUCCAUCAGUGUGGGGAUUUCUCGAAAGCGUUCCGUCCGAACAGAUCACUACAAAAAUAGCAAUAAUAACAAUAAUAAUAGUAUUUAUCCCAGACCCCCCCCUCCCCCCCAAACCCAUCCUCCCCCCACGAGAACACGCACAGGGAAUAUGUGGGGCGCUUUCUGGUUAAAUUGGUCUGCAAACAAUUAUGUAAACUCAUCAGCAGAAGCAAGAACAGAUGUUUUAUUAAAAGUGCUACACAGCAGUGGAAAUAUGUACACGACUUCGAGUAGCUCUCGAAUAGGAGUUGCUCUUUGUUCCCCGAAAAGAAAAGCGCCCAUAGAAAUCCCAAAUAACAUUCGCCACUCAUAUGCCAUAUUCCCCCCCCACACACACACACUCCAUCCCAGCACUUUUUGGGCCCCCCCCUUUCUCCCCACUCUGAUGUGCACAGAGAGAGGGAAGGGAGAAAAGAAGAGGAGAGGGGGGGUGGGGAGGAAAAUAAACGUGUCGGGAGAUUCCCCCCCCCCCCCAAGCUAUAAUUAGCGAAUUGAUGAACUGAUUUAGGAAAGGGAAAGGGGGGGGCGGGGGGAGG